Non-coding RNA from Osmia lignaria (orchard mason bee), 4882 nucleotides. NCBI's taxonomy places the organism in Eukaryota, Metazoa, Arthropoda, Insecta, Hymenoptera, Megachilidae. The record is from RefSeq and is a predicted model, not a curated record.
AGUACCUGUAAACAGUUGUUUUCAGUCAAUCAAAUGUAUUUUUUUAAUUAACAUACUUUUCUUUUUACAGGAAUUGAAGCUUGAGUAUUACUGGAGAAGGUAGUGGUGGUGGUGGUGGUGGUGGUGGUGGCGAAUAAAGUGGACAUCUGUUAGACUUUCCUUUCUAAUGUUUUAAUCAAAUUUAACGAGCAACUACAGUAUCACGUGGAAUCACGUGUGACCGGUAGCAACGAGAAUAAGAAAGUGAAAUGAUCUAAUAAAUGAAGCGCCUGAAGCAAAUCAUCAGCACAAAAUCUGCAGCCGGCGUUUAGGAGACUUUUUUUUUUUGUCGCCAUAAUGCCACGCACUCGAUGUUCAACGCGUUCGAAUAGAAAUAUUCCGUACAACAAGUGUUAAUUUGAUCGGUUUAAUCUACCAUACAAUCGUGUAUAUAUUAUGUAUAUGUAACGUGUCCUUUUUGUGUUCCUUUUUGCAAGCGCAAAGCGGACAGGAGGAUCGUGAGAUAUUCUUUCUCUCUUGGAAAGGAAAAGAAGGAAUCUUAGCUGAGUAGUUUGGCGUGGCCUAAAAUAAAAGAAGAACAAAAUUAAUUUGACCUUGCAACGAAUUCUGAUAUAAUGUAUUUGCUUUCUGAUUCAAGUGCAAUGAAAUUACACUAUUCUCGUUAUUUCUUAUAAAUUUACAUUGUUAAGGUAAACAAAAGAAGAAAUAUUAAAAAGCUGUAGUAUAGUAUUCAAGAUAAUACACGUGAAGAUCUAAAGAAAUGAUCUACAUAAAUAUUUCAUUAAUAUUCUUCAUACAAAAUGCAUUUCAUAUGCAACAACCUGAGUAUACCAACAGAAAAUAGUGAAAUUGAAAAUUAACAAAAAAUAUUUCUUUCCUAGUUUUGAUAUAAUUUAAUUAUUCUGUUUCCGACUGUAAGUGCCACGAGUUCCGGUUCACUUUGCGUAUCGUUGAAACGCUAUUAAUUCUAAUCCGAGAUCAAUUUACAGUAAACUCUUUUCUCUCAGAAGAAGAAGAAGAAGAGAAAAAUACGACGAAUGUAUUAUUGGGAAUGUCGCAGGCAUUUUUAACCGAGUGUCAUUCAUCUCGAAAGAGAAUUCUCUGUCCCUCGAUUUUUCAUCGCUCUCCAAUCUAUUGUAAACAUUUCGUUCUUUAAUAACAAUAAAACACGACAUUCUUCUUCAAUGAUUCUUUGAUUAUAUUCAUCCUUCAUCUUUGAUCUUACAAAAGGGAAUCAUAUAUUUUCUUUGAAAGAAUUAUGUUUAUAAUUAUUUUACAAAAAUAAAUAUCGGUUAUCCUUUUUUUCGUAGUGUAAUUCAAUGAGACACGAGAUGUUCUUUUGCAAGAUCAAAAACGAAGAAAUAUUGUGCGUUGGGAAAAAUCGGAUUUUUCCAGGAAAACAGUGACAAAGAGGAACGAGUGACAGAGAGCGAGGAAAAGAGUAGCGAGUUUUAUCGGAUUCAUAUUUUUUUUUUUCAUCGUGUGUUUUUCGUUUUUUUUUUUUUUUUCUUUCAUUCUCUCUUAGUUUUUGUUUUCCUUAUUCCAUAUCACAGCCAUCAUUAGCGCUACUGGACUUCGGGAUUCACCAUUUCGUACAAUCUUCGAACCGUUAAACCUUACGAUUUACUACUUAACGCGUUAAAAAUUCGAAUUUCCACUAGGAUAUCCGUCCGCAUAUUUACAAAUAAACCAUUCGCGUCAUUCUUUCGUUUAAACAAAAUGAAAAAAUCAAAAGGAUGUGUGCGAAACAAUUGCAAGUUCCAUGAAUUAAUUUUUUCCAAAAUUUCUUUAUUUCAAUGGAAAGAAUGACACGAGUUGGUUUUCGUAACAUGAAUAAUAAUUCUGAAGGAAUUACGUGAAAUCUUAUCGACUAAUUAAUUCAUUUAUCCAACCUCCGCCUUUUAUCCUGCCGCUGCGAUUUGAUUUUUCUUCUUUUCAUUUUCGAAUGGUAACUCGCAACGAUAGGAAUAAUUUGACAAACAGACGCAUGCGGGAACGGCUCAAAUACCGGCGUAUUCGCAAUAUUAAAUUCUCCUAAAACAGAGAGAGCUUUCAUCUUUUUAUUCUGAUCUUCAAUCUUUAUUUCUUUCUUCAAGGGAAUGCACAACCAAUUUCUGCAUCAAGAGAUUUAAUUAACUAGGAUCUAUACUAAUAUUAUAUCUAUCUACAACUUAGCUUUCUUAAUUACUAUUUACUUUUGAUAGUUCAAGUGUUCAUUCAUAAGCUUGUACAUGGAAGAACAUUUUUCUAAUUAGUUAGCAACAAGAUACUUUUGUUAAUUUAAAAGAACACACUCUUAGUAGUUUGGAUACUCUAAUUAUUUCACCACCUAGUAAUCUAUUUUUCAAUUUUUUCCCUUAUAAAGCAAGAAAUGAGAUAUCGAACGAUUUUAAGAAAAGGUUGUACACCCCCGAUUCUUAAUAUUAAGCACCUGAACGCAUUAUUAUAACGAGCGAGGUGGAUCGUACCUCCUACUUGGAUCUAUUUAAUUUGAUAACGUCAAGACGGACACAUCGAGAAAACGUCCUGAUGGAUCGCUUGAAUCGCGAGAAAACUUUAAAAAAGGAACGAUUGUCAGGAUCGUAGGAGAUACAUUUCUUUCUAGCUAACUCGAGAUCCAACCUCCUCUGAAAACGCUUCGAUCCGUAUAUGUAUAUAUAAUAUAUAUGUAUAUGUAUAUUAGGAUUAAAAGGACGAAAGUUGUUAACAGCGAAAAUCAUUUAACGAGGAGAAAAAAUCGGUAUCCUCUGAUAACGAUUCUUCCUUCUACUUAAUUUCGUUUACAUUUAACACAGUGAAUCAGUCCUAAUUAACACGUUCCCAAGUUUUAUUAUUCCUUUAACUUAAAGUAUACAAAUAUUCUUGUUAAUUUGUUAAAAGAAAAGUUCUUCCCGAACGCUACAUUCUCUUUCGUAGUGUUAUGUUAGAAAAAUAAAAAUUAAUAUAGAUAAUAGAAAAAUGUUACAAAGGAACGUGUUAAUUGCAGGGAUGAUUCUGCAACGGUAUCGUGAUCCUUUCACGAAAUCAAUAGUCUGUAAAUACUUUCACUAUCUACAAUCCGCUGGGUAUCGUUCAGUGGAGACUAUCGACGAACAGAUAGUUGUAAAAAUUGUGCAAUUACUCGCGGAAACACUCGUCUAGUUACUCAAAAUUGUAGAACAGAGAACAACUUGGUUCCUCUAUGUAAGUAAAACUCAGAAACUCUUCUGUUAUGAUACAAUCAUUCGGAUAGACUGUGAAUCUUUAUACUGUUAUUUCAAUAUAUUGUAAAUGCAUAAACAUUCCCAAUCUAGUCUUGUGUCUGUUUAACGCGUUGAUCUCAAUGGAAAUUGGAUUUAUAAAUGAUUUUUGAUUAAUGUAACCCAAGAAGAAGAGUUUGCAUCCAUUGUGUCAAUGCAUUAAACUGCACACGCUACAAAGAGUAUUCUGAUGCUUUAACACUUUGAUGUCUGAUGUCAUGUACUGCUUACAAUUUCUGAAUUGGUAAUUUUGCAGGGUACGUUACAGAAGCUCUUAAAUAUAAACCUUUCAGAUAACAAGAAAGGUGCAUAAAAUUACAAGGGUCCCAUGAAACACUCAGCCAUCAAAGUGUCGAGACUGUAUUUGACCGCCUCGCUUUUGGAGGAGGAUGAUUCUCCUACAUGGUUCUCCAAAAGAUUACAAAGAUAAAAUACAUGUUUACAAUCGUUGAGCAAAUCGUGGAAUUAACGCUCGGUGUUACAGACAAGUUCUGACGUGUCGCGCGAAUACAAAAGCGAAAUCGUUGGAACGGAACUGCGCUCAUAGAAAAAACGGAAGUCCCCUAAAGACCGUCGCGAAAUCCCCCGAGUCGCUGGGGAUCAUUUUCGCAUUACAAUAGUAACAACGUGCUGAUAUAAUCGCGCUUAAUCAUACCGAUCUUGUCACACCAAAUGGGAGAGAAUUCGUGAGCAUAACUGCAAGGGUAACGAUCAACGAGUACGAACAAGAAUGCGUUCUUCUCUUUAAUAAAGAUAAUGCGCGUAACGUUGGUAUUUAUUCCUGGUCGGGUACAGACGUUCCCCUUCGUGGAUUGGCGAGCAUAGAAAUGAAAAUGGCAUGUUAAAGAGUUAUUCGUAGACACUUAGAGGGUAUUUGCGUACAGUAUUAAACAAAUGUACCUUCCUCCAAAAAUAAAAAAAAAAAUCAUUAUUUUUUCCUAUACAAAUUCAUUAUUACUUCUUAGUCUGUUAUUCUACUUUCGAAAUACAUUUGUUUAUUACUUCGUAUGAUAAUCGCUCGACAUAGGACAUAGCCAUGCAUUGAACAAGUUUUCUGUUAAAGCCACACGUUUCUGCAAAUGCAAUCUGUUUCAGAACUAACGGAUUAGCAACGACGCUCGCUAAAUAAUAAUUAUUCGCAGGCAUAUAACAAUGUGUGUGUCAGGGGAGCCGCAUACUUUAUAUGCUGCUCGAUACGCAAUUAGACAAUUAGCAUUUCUAAUAUACAAUGUGCUUUUGUGUAACUGCCACCACCUACUCUCCAUUUUGAGCAACAUACAAAGACGAGCCAUGGAACAUUGUGUUACAAAAAAUCCUACUUUGAAUAGAGAGAAAAUACGUUUUUUGUUUAACAUAAACACUGCAAAAUUCAUCAGUCGCGCUGUGUUUCUAAUAUAUAAAAAAAUGAUCUUUAAUCCUAAGUGUUUAUAUGCACUUAAUUGAAAAAAUGAUAAUAAAAUAAUUAAAAAAAAAAAAAUAGAACGUAAUUCACGCUCACAUUCAUUGAAGGAUCAUAAGAGGGGAUAUAACAAAUUUCUUGUUCAACAGAAAAUGUAUUUCCAAAGUCUCUUUAAGUGACAGAUAACAAAACAUUUAUAUGUAUAGGAAAUGCAACGCUUUAUCAAAAAGAAAUAAAGAAAAAA